Molecule: long non-coding RNA, 245 nt
Filed under: Gossypium raimondii (Peruvian cotton)
Lineage: Eukaryota; Viridiplantae; Streptophyta; Magnoliopsida; Malvales; Malvaceae
Description: long non-coding RNA (GRAI_LNC011169)
Source: RNAcentral
UUGUGUCCCCCUUUUUCGCAGGUUUGGUGACCGUGGAGUGCGCGCGAUGGGCGCGGAGCGACAAACACGGUGUGCGGGCGCUGUUGCGGCGUGCGUGUGGGAGCUGCUGCGCCUAGGCUUCUUGCUGGUGUUUUGGGCCAUUUUCUGUUGGACUAGGGUUGAAAUUGGCUAUUGAGUUUUAAUUUUAUUGGGCCUGCUAUUGUAUUUUAUUAUUGAUUGGGCAGGGCAAAUAAUUGGUAUUACAG